RNAcentral lists this long non-coding RNA (2518 nucleotides) under Medicago truncatula (barrel medic). RNAcentral describes it as "long non-coding RNA (MTRU_LNC000340)". The record is from RNAcentral. Lineage: Eukaryota; Viridiplantae; Streptophyta; Magnoliopsida; Fabales; Fabaceae.
ACAAGAUAUCUUUGAGAGUGUUAGAGAGAGAAAGUGGGAGCAAGAGGAAAAAUGGUUAGAGAGAAGGGGAACUUGAAGAAUCAAGGAGUGGAAGAGAGCUAGGAGCAAAACUGAAGCUUAAGCUAGGGAGAUUAAUCUAACUAAGGUAAGGGGGUUGGAAUUCAUCAUAAUCAUAAUUGCAAUUUUUCAAUUAUUGUAUGAAUAAGUGCUUAAUUGGAUAAUUAAUUAUUUGUUAAUGGAUGAUGAAAUUCGUGCUCUAAUUAUGAUCAAUUUUUAAAUGUAUGAAGUUAUGAAUAAUUGGAUUGUUGUUAGUUGAAUUUCAGGUUCAAAGUAUGAGAAAAUGGUAUAUGUUGAAAAUAUGCUCAAUUGGUUGAAUUAUGCUAUGUUGUUGUUGAAUUGUGAUAAUAGUCAUGUUCAAUUGAUGUUGUUGGUGCUAAGUGAUAUUGUUGUUGAUGAUUCAUGGCUUGGGUGUUCAUAAUUCAUGAUUUGAUGAUGUGAAAUAAGUUAUUGUUGUUGAUUUGGUGAAAAUGGGUACUUAUGAGUUUUGCUCAAAUUGUUGGAUUGAAAUAUUGUGUUGUUGAAUUAUGGUUGAAUUUAUGUCUAAAUGAAGUGUUUUUGAAUUAGAUAUGUUGUUGUUGUUGUUGAAUUAUACCAUAGGUAUUCCAUUUUAUGAAGUUGUUGUCUGUAUUAGUGAAGUUGUGCUAGAUGUUCAUGUGAAGGACCCAAAAUGAAAUUUGAUAUACAAAGUUGUUGACGGAGUUGUCGACGUGGUUGGAUGAGUUAAACUUGAUGGAAUUUCUGUUUUUAUGUUGUAGUUGUGAUAGUCGAGUCGUUUGGGAGAAAUCGGGAGUUUCGGGUGAAAAUUCAAUUGUUAACCGCUUUGGAAAAAUGAUUUUUUGUGUAAGGCUUUGGAAAAUGAAUUUGGGGUUGUUGAACUUGAAUUUUUCUGUACAUUAAGAUAGAGCUAAGUGUCAUGAACAUGUAGGUGAAAACGGUGUCGAAAACGGAUUAACGGUUUGAUUUUUAUGCGCGAAAACGUGAAUGUUGAAAAUCUGAUGCUGUCUGUCAAACUAUGAUCGUGCCACGAUGCAGGGCCAACGUGCGACGAUUUUGAUCAGGAUUUCAGUCUUUCUGAUCCUAGAAAAAUCGUGCCACGAUGGGAGACCAACGUGCCACGAUGUUGUUUUACUAGAAACCUUAAAAAUGCAAUUUUCUUCGAUCCAAUUGUUUCCAAACUUAUUCCUAAGUGUAGGGACUCUAUCCUAACCAUCUAGGGGUGCUUUUAUGAAAGAAUUAACCUUGUGUAAAGGGUCUAGUGAACCUUUGUGUUGUUUUGUCUUGAGAAUUAUCAAUGUUGGUCGUUUGCCACUUGAUACGUUUUUUGUUGGAAAUGUUCCUUGAGCCAAUUGUUUUAUGUUCUAACGUGACUAUUCUCAUAUGACUAAGUGAAGUUGUAUGAAUGAAUGAUUGUAUUAUGGAUAUAAUGUUUAUCAUGAGAUGUGUAUGCUAUCUUACUUAGGAUGUAAGAAAUGCUUGAAAUGGUAAGGCUAUAUGUGAUAGUUGAUGUUGAAUGACAUUGUUGAUUAUUGAUGAUCAUGUUGAUGUGGUGAUAAUGAAUCUUAUGAUUUGAUUGUGUAUGGACAUGUUUUUUGAUAAUGCAAAUGUUGUGGAGAUGAUCAAUAUAUUUGGAAGUUGUCCUCUAUAUUGUGGUGAAAAUUGUGGAUUGAUGUCGCAUUAUUGAGUCUUGUUACAUGUCCAUGCAUCAUAGUCAUGUUGAGAUUUUAUAUGAUGUUUUUGUUGUAUCAUUGGGCUCCGGCCUAGCAGAGAUCAUUUAGUGAUCUAGUUUUGUGGACUUCGGUCUUGCAGAAAUCCAUUAGUGAUCUAGAUUGUGGGCUUCGGCCUUGCAGAGACCUUGAUGGUCUAGAUAUAGGUGACGACCUUGAAGUGAAACGGUACCACAUGCAUAUAUGUGUCGAACUAGGUGCACAUCAGGACAUGAGUCUUAUUUUGAAAUGUGAUUGGUGAUUGUGUAUGAAUAACUGUGAAUUGAUGAUUGUUCAUGACACAUGUGAUUGGUGAUUAAUUGAUGUGAGAUAUUGGGAUCAUGAUAUAUAAGUAUAUAUAUAUAUAUAUAUAUAUAUAUAUAUAUAUGUGUGUGUGUGUGUGUGUGUGUGUGUGUGUGUGAAUAUUAUUAUUGAUCAAGUACAUGAUGUUUGAAUUGAAUUAUUCAUGUUAAUUGUUAUGUGGAUUAUGAUGAUGUAAUACUUACCCCCAGUGGUUUUGACCGUCUGUCUGUAUGGAUGGGUAGACGUUGUGCAGGAUUAGCUGCUCUGGUGAGUUCUUUGUGCUUGGUGGAUAUCGGGUCGGGAGCUAUCUCCGGUAUCAGUAUUGUAGAGUCUAGGAUGGCUCUAAUCUAGGCGUCUGUUGUUGUCUAGAUUAUUUGUUUGGAUUAUUUAUGAUUCAUCCAUUGUUGGGAUUUUGGAGAUUCAUCUAUGUUGAUGUCUAAAGUAGUCUGGUU